AUAAUAUAAGAACCCGUCUCUUAACUUUUAACUAAAAAAGUUAAGAACCGGUUUUUAAAUAAGAGUUUUAAGAGCCGGUUCUUAGCUUUUUUAAUUAAAAGUUAAGAGACGGGUUCUUAUAUUUU
RNAcentral lists this microRNA precursor (125 nucleotides) under Brassica napus (rape). RNAcentral's name for it is "MIR9563 microRNA precursor family". It matches the Rfam family "MIR9563 microRNA precursor family". The record is from Rfam by way of RNAcentral. Lineage: Eukaryota; Viridiplantae; Streptophyta; Magnoliopsida; Brassicales; Brassicaceae.